This is a non-coding RNA of 85 nucleotides. It matches the Rfam family "Ascomycota telomerase RNA", at positions 1285 to 1381 of the family's 1858-position model. The record is from Rfam.
GCGGUUUUUGAGGAUGUCCUUUGUCCGUACUAUAAUGCCUUUCGUCACCAGUCGAAUGGAAGCGAAGCGGCAACAAAGACUAGUC